AGUAACUCCGUUUGCUUAAUCUGUAGUAUACGAACCAAAUGCAGGGGAAGCGGCAAUCUCCCGACCGAGAUCCGUGAACGGCUCCAAACUCCCGAACGGCAAUACACGAACUGCUGCUAGCCGCCGAACAACAAUAUUCACCGAGUGGCUUCCGUUCCAUCCAGCAGUCUCUAAACGUGAAGAAGAACUCCCCCCAAUAACGAGACAGAAACUCCGCAUUUAGGGUCAAACAGGAUCUGGCUUUACUGUGGGCUACCUGCCCGUAUUUAUGCAGGUCUCCCACUUGGUGGACACUCCCCUAGCGGACCAAAUGGGAGACUGGAAUUACAGAUGGACAUAAAGACAUUCCAGACAUACAGUCACAGCUUUUACCCACAGUGCAUUAUGAUUCCCUCCCCUCUGCCC
Molecule: non-coding RNA, 405 nt
Organism: Pelobates cultripes (western spadefoot toad)
Lineage: Eukaryota; Metazoa; Chordata; Amphibia; Anura; Pelobatidae
Source: the annotation of a GenBank genome assembly